GAUUGAACGCUGGCGGCAGGCCUAACACAUGCAAGUCGAACGGUAGCACAGGAGAGCUUGCUCUCUGGGUGACGAGUGGCGGACGGGUGAGUAAUGCAUGGGGAGCUGCCCAAUCGAGGGGGAUACCAGCUGGAAACGGCUGCUAAUACCGCAUACGCCCUGAGGGGGAAAGGUGGGGACCUUCGGGCCUACCGCGAUUGGAUGCACCCAUGUGGGAUUAGCUAGUUGGUGAGGUAACGGCUCACCAAGGCGACGAUCUCUAGCUGGUCUGAGAGGAUGACCAGCCACACUGGAACUGAGACACGGUCCACACUCCUACGGGAGGCAGCAGUGGGGAAUAUUGCACAAUGGGGGAAACCCUGAUGCAGCCAUGCCGCGUGUGUGAAGAAGGCCUUCGGGUUGUAAAGCACUUUCAGUAGGGAGGAAGGGUUGAUGUCUAAUACGCAUCAACAUUGACGUUACCUACAGAAGAAGCACCGGCUAACUCCGUGCCAGCAGCCGCGGUAAUACGGAGGGUGCAAGCGUUAAUCGGAAUAACUGGGCGUAAAGCGCACGCAGGCGGUUAGAUAAGUCAGAUGUGAAAUCCCCGGGCUCAACCUGGGAACUGCAUUUGAAACUGUCUGACUAGAG
Molecule: ribosomal RNA, 630 nt
Filed under: uncultured bacterium
Lineage: Bacteria
Description: bacterial SSU rRNA
Rfam family: Bacterial small subunit ribosomal RNA
Source: RNAcentral